RNAcentral lists this ribosomal RNA (328 nucleotides) under uncultured eukaryote. RNAcentral describes it as "partial 18S ribosomal RNA". It matches the Rfam family "Eukaryotic small subunit ribosomal RNA", at positions 1470 to 1796 of the family's 1831-position model. The record is from RNAcentral.
CCCUUAGAUGUUCUGGGCCGCACGCGCGCUACACUGAUGCAUUCAACGAGCCUAUCCUUGACCGACAGGUCCGGGUAAUCUUUGAAUCUGCAUCGUGACGGGGAUAGAUUAUUGCAAUUAUUAAUCUUCAACGAGGAAUGCCUAGUAGGCGCAAGUCAUCAGCUUGCGUCGAUUACGUCCCUGCCCUUUGUACACACCGCCCGUCGCUACUACCGAUUGAAUGGUUUAGUGAGGACUCCUGAUUGGCGCCGCCGCCCCGGCAACGGAGCAGUGGACUGCCGAAAAGUUGUUCAAACUUGAUCAUUUAGAGGAAGUAAAAGUCGUAACA